RNAcentral lists this ribosomal RNA (497 nucleotides) under uncultured bacterium. Its description in RNAcentral is "partial 16S ribosomal RNA". It matches the Rfam family "Bacterial small subunit ribosomal RNA", at positions 28 to 507 of the family's 1533-position model. The record is from RNAcentral.
GAUGAACGCUGGCGGCGUGCCUAAUACAUGCAAGUCGAGCGAACAGAUGAGGAGCUUGCUCCUCUGACGUUAGCGGCGGACGGGUGAGUAACACGUGGAUAACCUACCUAUAAGACUGGGAUAACUUCGGGAAACCGGAGCUAAUACCGGAUAAUAUAUUGAACCGCAUGGUUCAAUAGUGAAAGACGGUUUUGCUGUCACUUAUAGAUGGAUCCGCGCCGCAUUAGCUAGUUGGUAAGGUAACGGCUUACCAAGGCAACGAUGCGUAGCCGACCUGAGAGGGUGAUCGGCCACACUGGAACUGAGACACGGUCCAGGCUCCUACGGGAGGCAGCAGUAGGGAAUCGUCCGCAAUGGGCGAAAGCCUGACGGAGCAACGCCGCGUGAGUGAUGAAGGUCUUCGGAUCGUAAAACUCUGUUAUUAGGGAAGAACAAAUGUGUAAGUAACUAUGCACGUCUUGACGGUACCUAAUCAGAAAGCCACGGCUAACUACGUG